GCAGGAUUAGCUCAGCUGGGAGAGCACCUGACUGACAAGCAGGAGGUCACAGGUUCGAGCCCUGUAUCCUCCA
RNAcentral lists this transfer RNA (73 nucleotides) under Lactobacillus gasseri 224-1. RNAcentral describes it as "tRNA-Val". It matches the Rfam family "tRNA". From Rfam's summary of the family: Transfer RNA (tRNA) molecules are approximately 80 nucleotides in length. Their secondary structure includes four short double-helical elements and three loops (D, anti-codon, and T loops). The record is from RNAcentral. Lineage: Bacteria; Bacillati; Bacillota; Bacilli; Lactobacillales; Lactobacillaceae.